Long non-coding RNA from Panthera uncia (snow leopard), 675 nucleotides. RefSeq lists it as uncharacterized. Lineage: Eukaryota; Metazoa; Chordata; Mammalia; Carnivora; Felidae. The record is from RefSeq and is a predicted model, not a curated record. The transcript is spliced from 2 exons.
CCACGCGAACUGGCCAUUGUGAUGCACUGUGGUAGCUGCUGUGACAGCACAGAGGUCACGGUGCAUGGAGGCACUCCUUUCUACCUCAGCCUAAAGGCCUCCUGGAGGACCUGACCCCUGAGUAAAAACACUGCAGAGGCUCGCUGACCUGGCUGUUAUAUCAGAAUCAUAAGGUGCUUCUGAGAUACUGGUGCUCAGGCCCCUUCCAAGAACCAAGGAAUUAGUAUUUCUGGGGAUACAACUUGGCCAUGUGCAUGUAGGUGGAUUCUGACAAACACAAAAUCAGAACUGAACAAAGGAAAGAGUCUGCCAGAGGAAGCCAUUGGGACGAUCAGAUUGCAACAAUGGAUCUGAAUGUAUUGGAAAACCAUGAAGGGCUACACAAAGAUGAAAACAUGGAGCCAGGAAAAACAGUCUGGGAUGAAAGAGUGAAUGAACAUCAGACCAGGCUGAGAAUGCAGAAACAGUCCCUCUGUCAACAGGGCUAGGGGGGACGACAGACAUCAAGCCUACUGCAAAGAUGGCAGGAAACUAUGUUUCCCUCAAGGUCUUACAGCCGCUGUAAAAUGCCAGAAAAGACACCCUCUUUGAGGGACCACUGCUUUUCUGCCGAUGUUGCCCUCUGACCUGCUUUGCUAUGUCUUCUCCUCUGAAUAAACAUUACUGGGGACACUA